Molecule: non-coding RNA, 30 nt
Filed under: Rattus norvegicus (Norway rat)
Lineage: Eukaryota; Metazoa; Chordata; Mammalia; Rodentia; Muridae
Source: RNAcentral
UUAUGAAGUUGCAAACUGAGACCCAGCAGU